This 959-nucleotide ribosomal RNA is filed under the name uncultured bacterium. Its description in RNAcentral is "bacterial SSU rRNA". It matches the Rfam family "Bacterial small subunit ribosomal RNA", at positions 543 to 1503 of the family's 1533-position model. The record is from RNAcentral.
UGUCGGAUUACUGGGCGUAAGAGCUCGUAGGUGGUUUGUCGCGUUGUUCGUGAAAACCCACAGCUUAACUGUGGGCGUGCGGGCGAUACGGGCAGACUAGAGUACUGCAGGGGAGACUGGAAUUCCUGGUGUAGCGGUGGAAUGCGCAGAUAUCAGGAGGAACACCGGUGGCGAAGGCGGGUCUCUGGGCAGUAACUGACGCUGAGGAGCGAAAGCGUGGGGAGCGAACAGGAUUAGAUACCCUGGUAGUCCACGCCGUAAACGGUGGGUACUAGGUGUGGGUUUCCUUCCUUGGGAUCCGUGCCGUAGCUAACGCAUUAAGUACCCCGCCUGGGGAGUACGGCCGCAAGGCUAAAACUCAAAGAAAUUGACGGGGGCCCGCACAAGCGGCGGAGCAUGUGGAUUAAUUCGAUGCAACGCGAAGAACCUUACCUGGGUUUGACAUGCACAGGACGCCAGUAGAGAUAUUGGUUCCCUUGUGGCCUGUGUGCAGGUGGUGCAUGGCUGUCGUCAGCUCGUGUCGUGAGAUGUUGGGUUAAGUCCCGCAACGAGCGCAACCCUUAUCUUAUGUUGCCAGCGCGUAAUGGCGGGGACUCGUGAGAGACUGCCGGGGUCAACUCGGAGGAAGGUGGGGAUGACGUCAAGUCAUCAUGCCCCUUAUGUCCAGGGCUUCACACAUGCUACAAUGGCCGGUACAAAGGGCUGCGAUGCCGUGAGGUGGAGCGAAUCCUUUCAAAGCCGGUCUCAGUUCGGAUCGGGGUCUGCAACUCGACCCCGUGAAGUCGGAGUCGCUAGUAAUCGCAGAUCAGCAACGCUGCGGUGAAUACGUUCCCGGGCCUUGUACACACCGCCCGUCACGUCAUGAAAGUCGGUAACACCCGAAGCCGGUGGCCUAACCCUUGUGGAGGGAGCCGUCGAAGUGGGAUCGGCGAUUGGGACGAAGUCGUACAAGUACUCGU